Non-coding RNA from Cinara cedri, 263 nucleotides. NCBI's taxonomy places the organism in Eukaryota, Metazoa, Arthropoda, Insecta, Hemiptera, Aphididae. The record is from the annotation of a GenBank genome assembly.
AGGUAGGGGUUCUAAGUGUACAUCACUGAUUGGUACGGUAUAUUAGAAGCAUAGUUGAAGUAUAACAUAAACUAGAUAAAAAUCGUUUUUAAUAGUAUCUAUGAUAUGAAGGACAAUUUGUUCAAUUAGUACCUAGAGCCUACAUAUGGUUUAAUCCGGCAUUGUCACUGGAUUAUGAUCGAAAAAUAAAACGCACUUUGUAAAUCGAUGCAAUCACAACAUGAUCGUUACCGACAGACAAUAUUAUUGUUAUAAUAGAUUAC